AGUAAUAUAUCGGAACGUGCCCAGUAGUGGGGGAUAACUGCUCGAAAGAGCAGCUAAUACCGCAUACGACCUGAGGGUGAAAGGGGGGGAUCGCAAGACCUCUCGCUAUUGGAGCGGCCGAUAUCAGAUUAGCUAGUUGGUGGGGUAAAGGCCUACCAAGGCAACGAUCUGUAGUUGGUCUGAGAGGACGACCAGCCACACUGGGACUGAGACACGGCCCAGACUCCUACGGGAGGCAGCAGUGGGGAAUUUUGGACAAUGGGCGCAAGCCUGAUCCAGCAAUGCCGCGUGCAGGAAGAAGGCCUUCGGGUUGUAAACUGCUUUUGUCAGGGAAGAAAUCCUCUAGGUUAAUACCCUUGGGGGGAUGACGGUACCUGAAGAAUAAUCACCGGCUA
This 395-nucleotide ribosomal RNA is filed under the name uncultured bacterium. Its description in RNAcentral is "bacterial SSU rRNA". It matches the Rfam family "Bacterial small subunit ribosomal RNA", at positions 109 to 499 of the family's 1533-position model. The record is from RNAcentral.